Molecule: long non-coding RNA, 922 nt
Filed under: Daphnia magna
Lineage: Eukaryota; Metazoa; Arthropoda; Branchiopoda; Diplostraca; Daphniidae
Description: uncharacterized LOC116916614, transcript variant X2
Source: RNAcentral
GAAACGCAAUACUAAAGGUAUCUUAUAUUCUAUCCUCUUCUAUGUGACGUAGAAAUACGUCUUGGUUUGUCCUGAAUGGAACUAAAUAUCGUUUUCCUUUGACUCAACUUUUGCCAAUGUCAGGCAAGAAGAUUUACCUAGGCAUCGUGUAAGCUUUGUGGGAUUACACCGUGUCCCUUUCGUGUUCAUGCUACAAAGCAUUGGGUGGACCAAGUCGUUGCCGACAUUGCAAUUACUGUUUUUUUUUUUAAUUUAAGUACCAUAAUGUUCCUUCAAAUCUACGAUUUACGCACGGCAGCAUGUGCCGGUCAUAUUUAGAUAUAUGUGUUUAUUAUUCGAAAGAAUAUGACGAGACGUACAUGAUUGUGACAGCUUUUUUUUUCCAAAAAAAAAAUGCAAAGAUAAAUCAUCAGAGCGAUCAUUUAGAAUAAAGUGUAUGGGAAGAACUAAGAUUUUUCAGAACAGUGGUGAUAAAAGAUUUUGGAGGGUCGGUGUGUGUAACUACGAAGAUAACGAAAUACGAAAGGAAAUCAACUAAAACAGAGAAAGAUUUUUAUCCAGGCGGAGAAGAGCGAGGAAAAUAUAUAAAUUAUUUGGUUGCAUAAAAUGGUAGAAUCGAAUUCCACUGACCCUAUAUAAAAACCCCAGCAGCACAUACACGGUACAAAACAUGAAUGCACACCCCCGAACCGCCACACCACGACGGCCUAGUCAAACCCCACAACCGAAAUAAACAAUGUCCACGAAAUAAAAUAAAAAAAGGAUCCGAAUUUUCGUUUUUUUCACGCUUUUUUGUAACACGAAUUUCAAUUAACUUUCCUUCAACGUGAUGAUGGGGGUAGGGGGUAGUGAAAGACCACACAAAUAAAGAUAUAGUCGCACCUCAAAUACAUAACAUUAUACCUGUGUCAUCAAAUUGAAA